Molecule: ribosomal RNA, 408 nt
Filed under: uncultured bacterium
Lineage: Bacteria
Description: partial 16S ribosomal RNA
Rfam family: Bacterial small subunit ribosomal RNA
Source: RNAcentral
AGUGAACGCUGGCGGCGUGCCUAAUACAUGCAAGUCGAACGGAGUGGCGCACGGGUGAGUAAUAUGUAGCUAAUCUGCCCCUUGCUGACGGUCAACGGUUAGAAAUGACUGCUAAUACUCCAUAGAAAGGGAUUAGACUGUAUCGUAUCAGCUAGUCGGGGGGGUAACGGCCUACCGAGGCUAUGACGCGUAACUCGUCUGCGAGGAUGAUCAGUCAAAUCCGAACGGAGACACCGGUCGAACUUCUACGGGAGGCAGCAGUAGGGAAUAUUGCGCAAUGGGGGAGACCCUGACGCAGCAACGGCUCGUGGAGGAUGAUACUUUUCGGAGCGUAAACUCGUUUUGGUAGGGACGCGGUACCUAACGAAUAAGCACCGGCUAACUCCGUGCCAGCAGCCGCGGUAAUAC